Molecule: long non-coding RNA, 960 nt
Filed under: Olea europaea subsp. europaea
Lineage: Eukaryota; Viridiplantae; Streptophyta; Magnoliopsida; Lamiales; Oleaceae
Source: RNAcentral
UUGGCUUUAUUGCUACCAGUUCCCAUGAUCAGUACCAAGUUAAUUAAUCUCAGCAGAAGGUAGUUAUUUACAAUGUAAUGUUUCAAGGCAAUUGAUCAACUUACUACGAAACCAUUAAUAUUUCAAUACAGCCAGCAAUGAACCAAAUAAAGUGCCUAAAGAGAUUUAAGUAGCCUAUCAUAUAUAUUGAAAAUAAUAUUCAAAUGUUUAAACAUAGCUUGAACAAUUCCCAAUAACAAUUUCGAAUGGAUUGUAAAUGCAGAAAAUCACCUUCCCAGUAGAUGGAUUUUCAUUUAAAAGGACAAAAGAAUAACAAAAAAUAAAAAUUCCAGUACACCCUACAAAUCAUUGAAUUGUUUGUAGCGUUCAUAGUUGUAAGUUACUUUCCUAGAAAUAACUCAAAGCAAGUAUUUUAGGAGAAAUAAAAAUACUCAUUUGAUUCCCAUUUUUUUCAAAAUACAUUUUUCACUCUCUUCUUAAGAGCACAUUCUUCGUUAAAAUAAUAUUACAAGUAAAUAAAAAAAUUUCCUUAAUUGAAAAAUUAGAGCCCGCCCUCAGAUCUCAUAGCUUCUAGAAUCACAGAUGGCUAAUCCGAUGCGGAUCCAUCAGAGGCCGCUUACACACCACCAUCACAAUCAAGCAACCAAGUGUAUGUGUGUGCAUCUAUCUAUCUAUCAAUAGUAAAAAGUAUAGGAGGAGGAGGAGGUGGUGGUGGUGGUGGAGGCAGCUGAUUAUUCCGGUGAUGCGCAAAGGCCAACGAUGAAUCAAACACCACCGUGCCGCAUCAAUGCAUUAAUUUUUUUCCAUCAUUGGGCAAAUUUAAUAGAAAAACAAUUAAAUAUAAAGCAAAUUACAAUUUAUACACACACAGGUAAGUGGCGACGGCAUGAAGAAUGCCCAAAUAGGUUUUUUUGGACAGCGGGGAAGAGAUGGGAAUGAGAUUUUAUUGAUAUAUUGGAC